Molecule: ribosomal RNA, 659 nt
Filed under: uncultured archaeon
Lineage: Archaea
Description: bacterial SSU rRNA
Rfam family: Archaeal small subunit ribosomal RNA
Source: RNAcentral
CGCACAGCUCACUAACACGUGGCUAACCUGCCCUUGGGACGGGACCAACCCCGGGAAACUGGGGCUAAUCCCCGAUAGGUGAAGAACUCUGGAAUGAGUCUUUGCCCAAAAGGCGUCAGAUCAUGCUUCUGGCGUUGCCCAAGGAUGGGGCCGCGACCGAUCAGGUUGUUGGUGAGGUAAUGGCCCACCAAGCCUAUAACCGGUGCGGGCCGUGAGAGCGGGAGCCCGGAGAUGGGCACUGAGACAAGGGCCCAGGUCCUACGGGGCGCAGCAGUCGCGAAACCUUUGCAAUACACGAAAGUGUGACAGGGUCAUCCCGAGUGCCGACCGCUGAGGUUGGCUUUUACCCAGUCUAGAACGCUGGGGGAAUAAGGAGAGGGCAAGUCUGGUGUCAGCCGCCGCGGUAAUACCAGCUCUCCGAGUGGUGUGGACGUUUAUUGGGCCUAAAGCAUCCGUAGCUGGCUAAACAAGUCCCCUGUUAAACCCACCGAUUUAAUCGUUGGUCUGCGGGGGAUACUGUUCGGCUAGGGGACGAGAGAGGCAGACGGUAUUCCCGGGGUAGGGGUGAAAUCCUAUAAUCCCGAGAAGACCACCAGUGGCGAAAGCUGUCCGCUAGAACGCGCCCGACGGUGAGGGAUGAAAGCUGGGGGGAGCGAAAC